UCUACUGUUGGGUAUAUGCCUUUUCCCUGAUAUAGGUAAAAGAUAUGAUCUGGACUUUCAAUCUCCUCAAAAGUCUGGACAAAAUUUUUAGUCAGCAGAGGAUAUGAUAGACUUGUGCAAGGAACUAUGCUUUGGUUUGGAACAUUGCAUCACAUCCCCUGUUGGAACUGAGAGGAACCCACUUAUAGUUGGUGAUGAGAUUUUUCUUUCUAGAUCAAUGACAGGAAAGAGGGAUUCCCUAGGCAGGACACAAUAUUGGACAAGCUGUCUGAGAGGGCGAAGCAACUGACGACUAACCUAGUAAAGAUACAAAAUGAUGGCACUGUUGAAGUUGAUAUAGAAAUGAGUGCAUCUGUUGCUCCAGAAUUGUUAGAGCUCCAAUCUUUUGUCGAGUCAACAGUGAGUGGAAGUCUUAGUUCAAAAUCAAAAAAAUCUGUUCCAUGGUUACAAAUUGUCAUACUUGUGGUUGGAACUAGAGGCGACGUACAACCUUUUCUGGCCAUUGCAAAGAAACUUCAGGCAUGUUUGGAUAUUUUCAUUCAAUUCAUUUUGAUGCACAUCAGCACAUGAGAAUUGCAUUAAAUCAUUGUUAUCUUUGUAUUGCUUUCUUGCAUAUCUUAUGGUGUAGAACUCCCUAAUAUCUUUAUAUUUGUGAUUUACUUUAAUACAAGGCCUAAAUGAGAAUUUGGCAUUAUUUUUCUUGGAAAUCACAUCAUAUAUAGAUUUCCUUUCAUUUGCUUUGUUCAGAAGAAAAAAAAUAUUGUUUAU
Glycine soja is the source of this 768-nucleotide long non-coding RNA. RefSeq lists it as uncharacterized. The record is from RefSeq and is a predicted model, not a curated record. The transcript is spliced from 3 exons. Lineage: Eukaryota; Viridiplantae; Streptophyta; Magnoliopsida; Fabales; Fabaceae.